AAGAAAUUACCGUAGGAUGAGCUAUCUUCAUGAUCCGACGGUUCAUUGCGUAUGUAAACU
This 60-nucleotide small RNA is filed under the name Arabidopsis thaliana (thale cress). RNAcentral describes it as "ATSL097810". Lineage: Eukaryota; Viridiplantae; Streptophyta; Magnoliopsida; Brassicales; Brassicaceae. The record is from RNAcentral.